Molecule: transfer RNA, 61 nt
Filed under: Videna planorbis
Lineage: Eukaryota; Metazoa; Mollusca; Gastropoda; Stylommatophora; Trochomorphidae
Description: tRNA-Val
Source: RNAcentral
UAGGUUUAGUAAUAAUUUACAAUUCAUUUACAAUGAAUAGGAUUACGUAUGUAAAACCUAA